RNAcentral lists this ribosomal RNA (497 nucleotides) under uncultured bacterium. RNAcentral describes it as "partial 16S ribosomal RNA". It matches the Rfam family "Bacterial small subunit ribosomal RNA", at positions 28 to 507 of the family's 1533-position model. The record is from RNAcentral.
GAUGAACGCUGGCGGCGUGCCUAAUACAUGCAAGUCGAGCGAACAGACGAGGAGCUUGCUCCUCUGACGUUAGCGGCGGACGGGUGAGUCACACGUGUAUACCCUCCCUAUCAGACUGGGAUCACUUCGGGACACCGGCGCUAAUCCCGGAUAAUAUAUUGAACCGCAUGGUUCAAUAGUGAAAGACGGUUUUGCGGUCACUUCUAGCUGGAUACGGGCCGGAUUGGCUAGUUGGUAGGGUAACGGGUUACCAAGGCAACGAUGCGUAACCGACCGGAGAGGGUGGUCGGCCACACUGGAGCUGAGACAGGGUCCAGACUCCUACGGGAGGCAGCAGUAGGGAAUCGGCCGCAGUGGGCGAAAGCCUGACGGAGCAACGGCGCGUGAGUGAUGAAGGUCUUCGGAUCGUAAAACUCUGUUAUUAGGGAAGAACAAAUGUGUAAGUAACUAUGCACGGCUUGACGGUACCUAGUCAGAAAGCCACGGCUAACUACGUG